This 253-nucleotide ribosomal RNA is filed under the name uncultured bacterium. RNAcentral describes it as "partial 16S ribosomal RNA". It matches the Rfam family "Bacterial small subunit ribosomal RNA", at positions 524 to 776 of the family's 1533-position model. The record is from RNAcentral.
UACGGAGGAGGCAAGCGUUAUCCGGGCUUAUGGGGCGUAAAGCGUUCGUAGGUGGUUGGCCAAGUCUGCUGUCAAAGGGUGGGGCUUAACCUCAUAAAGGCAGUGGAAACUGGCGAGCUAGAGUGCGGUAGGGGUAGUGGGAAUUCCCGGUGUAGCGGUGAAAUGCGUAGAGAUGGGGAAGAACAUCGGUGGCGAAAGCCACCUGCUGGGCCUGCACUGACACUGAGGGACGAAAGCUAGGGGAGCGAAUAGG